Molecule: non-coding RNA, 46 nt
Organism: Schistosoma curassoni
Lineage: Eukaryota; Metazoa; Platyhelminthes; Trematoda; Strigeidida; Schistosomatidae
Source: Rfam
GCACUGCUGAGGAGCUUCACAAUAGGACGAAACGGCCGUCCAGUGC